Molecule: ribosomal RNA, 515 nt
Filed under: uncultured bacterium
Lineage: Bacteria
Description: partial 16S ribosomal RNA
Rfam family: Bacterial small subunit ribosomal RNA
Source: RNAcentral
GAUGAACGCUGGCGGCGUGCCUAAUACAUGCAAGUCGAGCGAAUGGAUUAAGAGCUUGCUCUUAUGAAGUUAGCGGCGGACGGGUGAGUAACACGUGGGUAACCUGCCCAUAAGACUGGGAUAACUCCGGGAAACCGGGGCUAAUACCGGAUAAUAUUUUGAACUACAUGGUUCAAAAUUGAAAGGCGGCUUCGGCUGUCACUUAUGGAUGGACCGGCGUCGCAUUAGCUAGUUGGUGAGGUAACGGCUCACCAAGGCGACGAUGCGUAGCCGACCUGAGAGGGUGAUCGGCCACACUGGGACUGAGACACGGCCCAGACUCCUACGGGAGGCAGCAGUAGGGAAUCUUCCGCAAUGGACGAAAGUCUGACGGAGCAACGCCGCGUGAGUGAUGAAGGCUUUCGGGUCGUAAAACUCUGUUGUUAGGGAAGAACAAGUGCUAGUUGAAUAAGCUGGCACCUUGACGGUACCUAACCAGAAAGCCACGGCUAACUACGUGCCAGCCGCCGCGGUAA